Molecule: ribosomal RNA, 521 nt
Filed under: uncultured Gammaproteobacteria bacterium
Lineage: Bacteria; Pseudomonadati; Pseudomonadota; Gammaproteobacteria
Description: partial 16S ribosomal RNA
Source: RNAcentral
GUACCGCGGCUGCUGGCACGAAAUUAGCCGGUGCUUCUUCUGCAGGUAACGUCAAGUACUCCAGGGUAUUAUCCCGAAGCCUUCCUCCCUGCUGAAAGUGCUUUACAACCCUAGGGCCUUCUUCACACACGCGGCAUGGCUGGAUCAGGCUUGCGCCCAUUGUCCAAGAUUCCCCACUGCUGCCUCCCGUAGGAGUCCGGACCGUGUCUCAGUUCCGGUGUGACUGAUCAUCCUCUCAGACCAGUUACAGAUCGUCGCCUUGGUGAGCCUUUACCUCACCAACAAGCUAAUCUGACGUGGGCCGAUCCAUUAGCGCGAGGUCCGAAGAUCCCCCGCUUUCCCCCGUAGGGCUUAUGCGGUAUUAGCCUGAGUUUCCCCAGGUUAUCCCCCACUAAUGGGCACGUUCCCACGCGUUACUCACCCGUCCGCCGCUCGCCACCAGGUGCAAGCACCCGUGCUGCCGCUCGACUUGCAUGUGUUAGGCCUGCCGCCAGCGUUCAAUCUGAGCCAUGAUCAAACUC